Molecule: ribosomal RNA, 252 nt
Filed under: uncultured bacterium
Lineage: Bacteria
Description: partial 16S ribosomal RNA
Rfam family: Bacterial small subunit ribosomal RNA
Source: RNAcentral
UACGUAGGGGGCUAGCGUUAUCCGGAAUUACUGGGCGUAAAGGGUGCGUAGGUGGUUAUUUAAGUCAGAAGUGAAAGGCUACGGCUCAACCGUAGUAAGCUUUUGAAACUGAGAAACUUGAGUGCAGGAGAGGAGAGUAGAAUUCCUAGUGUAGCGGUGAAAUGCGUAGAUAUUAGGAGGAAUACCAGUUGCGAAGGCGGGUCUCUGGACUGUAACUGACACUGAGGCACGAAAGCGUGGGGAGCAAACAGG